GGCCCGGUCGUCUAUCGGUCCAGGACGCCACUCUCUCACAGUGGUAAGGCGGGUUUGACUCCCGUCCGGGCUA
This 73-nucleotide transfer RNA is filed under the name Planctomycetaceae bacterium. RNAcentral's name for it is "tRNA-Glu". It matches the Rfam family "tRNA". From Rfam's summary of the family: Transfer RNA (tRNA) molecules are approximately 80 nucleotides in length. Their secondary structure includes four short double-helical elements and three loops (D, anti-codon, and T loops). Lineage: Bacteria; Pseudomonadati; Planctomycetota; Planctomycetia; Planctomycetales; Planctomycetaceae. The record is from RNAcentral.